This 36-nucleotide transfer RNA is filed under the name Sarcolaena oblongifolia. RNAcentral describes it as "partial tRNA-His". Lineage: Eukaryota; Viridiplantae; Streptophyta; Magnoliopsida; Malvales; Sarcolaenaceae. The record is from RNAcentral. RNAcentral also lists the same sequence under 2 other names.
CGGGGCGGACGUGGCCAAGUGGAUCAAGGCAGUGGA